GAGUGCACCUCCCAAAAAUGAUACCUCGAAUACAGUCGGGCAUGUCCGAACGCGCUUCCCAAUCCGCUAUAUAUUGCUGCUGCUCGAACCCUUGUGCUACGGCAAGGUAAACGAAUCAGCUUGUAUUGUAAUUCCAAUGCUAUCGAUUCCCGCAACAAUCCAAUUCAAUCAAAUUUUGUCAAGAAUCUUUUUUUUCCUCUAGAUUUUUCCGGCAAUCAGGAACGUUGACGGAGCUUUUUCCCGGAUCAGUUUGUAUCAGAUCGCAAACAAAUGCUCUUCUCAGCGGAAAAUCCCACUAAACUCUACUCUAAAAAAUAUGCUUCUGUUUCAAGAUUCCUUGUAUUCAAUAAAAUGAAGAAAGUAUCACUCUUUGUAUUCCGAAGCACAAACCGGUAAAAAUUAAUUCUUAGUAACUAUUUUUCUUCUGUGAAGUUUGUAAAUCAAGAACAAUUAGAAAUAGAAGUUAUUUUCCCAAUUUUAUUAUAGGGACUACUGGUCACAGCCCCAAAAUUCGCCAGACUAUUCCCACUCAAAACCCUUAAGAAGAGGAUGAAAUCAGGAAAUCCGAAGAGAAAUCGGAAAAGCAAAGAAAGAAAUGAAACGAAGAUUAAUGGAUUGGUCAAACAAAGUCCACAAACGAAGAGUAAAGUGAAAGGUUCUUUUUU
This 665-nucleotide long non-coding RNA is filed under the name Nicotiana benthamiana. RNAcentral describes it as "long non-coding RNA (NBEN_LNC023657)". The record is from RNAcentral. Lineage: Eukaryota; Viridiplantae; Streptophyta; Magnoliopsida; Solanales; Solanaceae.